GAUGAACGCUGGCGGCGUGCCUAAUACAUGCAAGUCGAGCGAACAGACGAGGAGCUUGCUCCUCUGACGUUAGCGGCGGACGGGUGAGUCACACGUGGAUAACCUACCUAUAAGACUGGGAUAACUUCGGGAAACCUGAUCUAAUACCGGAUAAUAUAUUGAACCGCAUGGUUCAAUAGUGAAAGCCGGUUUUGCUGUCACUUAUAGAUGUAUCCGCGCCGCAUUAGCUAGUUGGUAAGGUAACGGCUUACCAAGGCAACGAUGCGUAGCCGACCUGAGAGGGUGAUCGGCCACACUGGAACUGAGACACGGUCCAGACUCCUACGGGAGGCAGCAGUAGGGAAUCUUGCGCAAUGGGCGAAAGCUUGACGGAGCAACGCCGCGUGAGUGAUGAAGGUCUUCGGAUCGUAAAACUCUGUUAUUAGGGAAGAACAAAUGUGUAAGUAACUAUGCACGUCUUGACGGUACCUAAUCAGAAAGCCACGGCUAACUACGUG
This 497-nucleotide ribosomal RNA is filed under the name uncultured bacterium. RNAcentral describes it as "partial 16S ribosomal RNA". It matches the Rfam family "Bacterial small subunit ribosomal RNA", at positions 28 to 507 of the family's 1533-position model. The record is from RNAcentral.